Molecule: ribosomal RNA, 447 nt
Filed under: uncultured bacterium
Lineage: Bacteria
Description: partial 16S ribosomal RNA
Rfam family: Bacterial small subunit ribosomal RNA
Source: RNAcentral
AACGAACGCUGGCGGCAGGCUUAACACAUGCAAGUCGAGCGCCCCGCAAGGGGAGCGGCAGACGGGUGAGUAACGCGUGGGAAUCUACCCAUCUCUACGGAAUAACUCAGGGAAACUUGUGCUAAUACCGUAUACGCCCUUUUGGGGAAAGAUUUAUCGGAGAUGGAUGAGCCCGCGUUGGAUUAGCUAGUUGGUGGGGUAAAGGCCCACCAAGGCGACGAUCCAUAGCUGGUCUGAGAGGAUGAUCAGCCACAUUGGGACUGAGACACGGCCCAAACUCCGACGGGAGGCAGCAGUGGGGAAUAUUGGACAAUGGGCGCAAGCCUGAUCCAGCCAUGCCGCGUGAGUGAUGAAGGCCCUAGGGUUGUAAAGCUCUUUCACCGGAGAAGAUAAUGACGGUAUCCGGAGAAGAAGCCCCGGCUAACUUCGUGCCUGCCGCCGCGGUAA